Molecule: ribosomal RNA, 385 nt
Filed under: uncultured bacterium
Lineage: Bacteria
Description: bacterial SSU rRNA
Rfam family: Bacterial small subunit ribosomal RNA
Source: RNAcentral
AGCGAAUAGAUACCCCGGUAGUCCACGCCCUAAACGAUGAUCACUCGAUGUGUGCGAUAACAACAAGUAACGCGUCCAAAACGCGAAAAGACAUUAAAGUUAGAUCCACCUGGGGAGGUACGGCCGCAAGGCUGAAACUACAAAGGAAAUUGACGGGGGCCCGGCACAAGCGGAGGAGCAUGUGGUUUAAAUUUCGAUGAUACGCGCGGAACCGUUACCAGGGCUUGAAAGUUAGUGAAUGACGUAGAAAUAUGUCAGCCAGCAAUGGCACGAAAACUAGGUGCUGCAUGGCUGUCGUCAGCUCGUGCCGUGAGGUGUUGGGUUUAAAGUCCCGCAACGAGCGCAACCCCCUAUCAUUAGUUGCUAGCAGGUCAUGCUGAGGACU